CCCCGGAACCUCCAAGGCUGAGCUGACGCCGCAGCGGCCGCGUCACGUCCCAAGAGCUCAGCUCCGUCGGGGACAGCCUGAGCAGCGCGCGAUGCAGGCGGAAGGAUGCGGGGAGCCCCUUCGUCAGGUGUUCGUAGAGUUUCCGAAACUCCUCGAAUCUGGAGACAUCCGUACCGGAGCGAGCUUCUGAGGGUCCGGGAAAGGCCGGGAGGUGCUCCUGGGCCAAAGACAGGGCACCUCCCGAAGGCAGCCAGCAGAGCAUCAGCAGCAUCAGCAGCAUCAGCAGCAUUGGUGGUGUGGGUCCGGGCCCAGGCAUGCCUGUGCUGGCUGAGUUCUGAACUGAGACACCGGACGCUGCUGGACUGGCCUUUAUAAUCCCCGGACUUUGUCCGCCCCCGCCUGCCUGGUCCCUUCCGCUCUGGGUGCAGAGUAAACACUCCAGGGACCAUACAUGGCUGAGUCUUGGGCUGCUUUUAAGGGGGAGGCCCUUCUGGGGAGUUCUCCUGGGGAAGUGGGGGACGCCCUCCCCCCCAGAAGCCUCUUUGAGCCUCAGUAUCCUCUAUGAGAUGGGGACUUCCUUCCAGCUUGGUGGACUGGUGAAAAGAAUGCUUUUGUCAGAAAAAGACUUAUUUGUAUGUGCUCAAUUCCAUAGCAAGCGCUUAAGAGGAGGCCUUCUCCCUCAUGGGAUUUUCUCUCUCCCUUCCUGGUUAGGGUCAAAGGCUCCAGAUGCUGAAAACCAAAGGAAGCAGAGGAGAAAGGACCAGAAGGAGCCAGAAGGUACAGCCUUAGGCAAGUCAUUCCCCUUCAUCCCACUUCUGUUUCUUCAUCCGGAAAACAAGAACUGAGACUUUCACUGGAGAGAAGUUCAAAUGGGGCAUAAACGACAGGGCCAGACCCGUAGGAGGUUGUGUGAUUGACUGAGUGUUUUUGCAGUCCCUGAUCCUUAGGGGGAACUCCUGCUCGUUCUUCAAAACCCUACCCAAAAAGCUCCUCCUCCAGGAAGCCUUGCCUACCAUUACCUUUCCAGGCUCAGCCGCAUGCUCCCAACCCCCAUCCUUUCCUUCAGCGCAGACCUGACCUCACAGCACUGGGAGUAUCUGUGCUUGGCUCUGUCUGCCCCAGACUGGAGGCCCUUUGAAGACUUAGACAGAGAUGAAGCUACUCUGGGGCCCAGUGCAGAGUGGAGGGGGCAGGGAAUUGGAGGGCUGUUAUCAGGCCCACCACCAGAUGGUAGAGGGCAAGAGGUGCCCUAGGAAGACCCAGGCCUUCCCCUCAGACCCUUCUCUGGCCCCAGGCACUGGCCCCUGUGCCUGUUUCUUGGCCACAGGGAAGACGGGCAGCAGUUGAGGCAGAUCGUGGGGAUGUGUAAAGUGUGACAGCGUGUGCAGGCAAGAGGUGACAAGGGCUUGCUGCGGGUCACACAGCAAAUCCCCACACUGCAGGAACACGGUCGGGCCUCCCCGCCACCCCCAAUAUGCACCCACUGGCUGUGUGAGCCCAGCCAAGGCUCACCCCCCCACCCCCCCGCCACCUCCGCCGAGUCUCAGUCUCAGCCUCUCUGCAGUGGGAUUACCGCCCAGCUAUGGGUCUCAAGUAUCCCUCUGUGAUGCCCGGGGCAUUCAGGUGCUUAGUAAACAGACCGGCUCCUGCCACUGUCACUACCAUCUUGACAGGGGCUGUUGGGAAGAUGGGCCUCUUGCCCCACCAGCUUGGCCCACACAGUAAGAGCUCAAAAAGGGUCCUGGACUGACUAGACAAGGAGCUGGGGCCACUGUGCGGCCGCACUGCUAUGCCCUCCGCAGAGGCCAGGCGCCAAAGGUGAGCGAGAGUGCUGAGUAAUCCUAACGUGGUAGGGGCAGGUCAGCAAGGGUCACCAGUGCCUAGGUCUGACCUCACCUGGGGUGGGUGGGGCAGAGAGGGCGCUUUCCCUGCAAGAUCAAUAAUGGUGAGAUGCCAACUUUCACCAGAGUUCACGCUGCAGGCACUGUUCAUACACUUUUCUCUUAAGGGAACCAAACCAGGAGGGGCAAGUAAGAUUGUAGGGGGCAACUCCACACUGGAGACCAGCCUUUGGCUGACUGUUUUCCUGGCAUUUCUAAGCCUGUGAUAGGAUUCUGAAGUUCCCUCUGUCUAGGACUGUUUUCCUUCCUUCCUUCUUUCCUUCCUUCCUUCCUUCCUUCCUUCCUUUCUCUCUUCCCCCCCCCCCCAAAUUUAAAAGCCUCAUAAAGAGUUUUUCCUGAUCCAGGUCCCAACAGACUGGACAUUUGUCAGCUCCAGAGAAGCUGGCCUGGGUUGACAUUCUGGCCCACUUCUCCCUGGCCAUGACAUGUGGGACAAGGCAUCAACCGGCAGGGCCUCGGUUUCCCCAUCUGUAAAAAGUGGUAAUGGCAUUCUGAGUCAGGGCUGUGGGGAGAACACACAGGGAGUGGGAAUUUUUGCACACGCUGUGGGUCAACACGAUCGUGAUUCAAAUCCUAGUGCCACCCACUUUGCUGUGUGACCAUAGGCAAGUACUCAAACUCUCUGUGCAUAGAACAAAAGCAGUGUGGGUCGUGAGGAAGGAGAACAUUAAGUACAGAAAUCUUACCAUUCUUAACUCAGCAAACUCACAAGAGCCAACACAAACUGGGCACCAGGUCACACGCCAAGGACAGAGAUCCUUGUGAAUCAGGGCCCCCUCUGCCCACUGAUGCUCCCAGGCAGAGGACAACCCUGGUGGAGGCUAACCUCUCACGAAGACGUGAGAAAUCACCUAUUUAAGCUGUUUUAUUUGCCUUCCGGGGUGUCAAGUUUGGGCAAAGUCCAGCAGACCCUGGGGUCCCUGGCACAGGGGCUUCAGACAAGGCAUUCACAGGAACUCUGGGCGUCAGGGAGAAGACCGCCAGAGGAUGUAGGGCCCAAGCCCUCCUUUGGGGACAGAAGAUACAGUCACUUUCAGCAGGAACAGUUUGUCCUAAAGAGAGAUUUCGAGCGGGAUAGAAACCUGAGAUGUUAAGGGAGCCCCAGAAACAUGUCAGGUACCCCCAAGGCAAGCAGAAAGCCACCUCUGCUCCCCCAAAGCCAGAUGAUGCCUCCUGUAUUGUCCAGGGAAACUGCAUGCCUUGGGAGCAGGGAGCCCAAUUCCAAACUGACUUCCUCUGGGAUUUCCUCAGGACAGAGUGUGUCGCCACAAAAACCACUUGCCCCAGACCCCACCCCUUUUGAACCCUUGGAUGACCCCAACCCAAGCAGUGAGGAGCCGGCCCCCUCUCCGAGCCUGGGGUUGCUUCUCUCUUUCUCAUCGUGUCCCCUUUCUCUGUGCCCCAUGUGUACUGGGGAGGCAGGCACUUCUGUGGGUCUCUGGGUAGCUGAAGGUAGGUUUGAUGAGGAGAGGAAGGAAGAGAAAUGAAUUUGGGGGAAGGAAGAGCAGCUAAAGGCUGGACUGUUUUCCUUCAUGAUCUGUGAGUUCUCAACCCCCAGCUUGUGAUAAAUGAGCUUCAGUUUCCCUGUCCGUAAAAGGUGGUAAUGGCACCCCCCAUCAUCCCUUCACAGGGAUGUAAGGAGGACUCAUAGGCAGGGAGAGAGUCAGGGGACAAGGUCUGUUGGAAUGUGCACUCAGGAUCUGUUAGGAAUUAAGUUUCAAGAUGUGGACAUUAGCUAGUGCCUGCCUCACCCUAAGUGCUGCCAUUCUGACCUGUGGGCUUAGAGGCAAAGUGGCAGCAUUGCGGUUAAGCUAUGAGACAUAUCCCAAAUGGUGUAUGUCCAGUCUUUUUGUGGAUCUGGUGUUCCAGGGGCCUGGAUGCUACCUCUGGGGUGACAAGGAGCUGACUCCCAGGCCCACGUGUUGCCUCGGGGACCAUAAGACUCAUAGUGACCUUGGCAGUGGGAGCAGGAUUUCUCAUGGGCAGGAGAGAUGCUAGGCUGGAGGUUUCCUGUGGAGAGAGAAAAAGAAACUGGUAACUCGUGGGACUCCUAUGUGCUAGGCGCAGGGUGCCCAUUUCUUCCCACACACCAAGGCGGAUCCCACCUCAGGGCCUUUGCACAAGCUGCUUCCUCUUCCUGGCAUACUAGUCCCCUGAAUCUCAGCAUGGCAGGCUACAUAUCCCUCCAGCCUGCCUAAUACAGGCACUGCCCCAUUUUCUUUCAUUACGUGUCACUUCAUCUCCCCUACUAGAAUCUUAGUAGGAGUUUCUGUCUGUCCAGUCACCACCAUGUCUGGUACACAGUGGGUGCUUGGUAAGUACUGGCAGGAAUUCAUGUAUAUCUGAUAUUUAGAGGGACUAAGAGCCAAACAGUGGUUCUGCCUCCUCUGGAAGUCAAAAACAUUUUAUUGAAGGCCUGCUAAGUCCCUGGGGCUAUAACAACCAGCUACCGCGUUUUCAACUCUCUGGAUCUUGGUUUCCAUGUCUGAGCAAUGAAGGGUACCAGACCACACAGGGUGCCUAACUUCCGGAUUCCUUGGACCCUUAGGAUCCUCAGACACACAGCCCCCCAAGCUGGUCCAGGUCUUGGGGACAACUGUGGAGUGGGCCUGAGAUUCUAGGGCCCUCAACCUAGUUACUAGGUUCAGAGAGGACCCAAGUUUACUUGGAAAAUAUACAGCACAGGCAAGACCAGGGAGGGUUCAGAGCGCUCUCCGGAUCCUGACACCUUCCCCCACCAAACUCCUUCCAGAGGAUCAUAUAGCCCAGUUCUUGAGGGCACCUUCUGCUGGCAACUUUAGCAGUGUUUGGCCCUCGAUUGCCUCAAAUCUGGAACCAACCUAAGCAGGUUCCUUCCCCUCACCCCUGCACAUAUCUCCCCCCUGACCCCCACCAACGGUAAGAACGAUGCCCUCCUGGCACCUGCCUCUGGGUUCUGCAGGCCCUGUGCACUUUCAGGAGAGUUGCUGACCCCUCUGGGCCUCAUUUUCUCCAUCUGUGAUCAGGGCAGGGUUAUAAUAAUCCCAUGCUGACCGAGCCCCACCCUGUGUGGCUGCGCAGAUGAGGCUGCUGGCUCCUUCUUCAGUCAUGAGGGGAGAUGGGCUAUUCCUGCCCAGUUCACAGAUGGGGAGUAACUGAGGUUCAGCAGUGGGUCUCUGGGACACAGAACCACUGGUUAGAUGUGGGGACUGCCCCAAAGGGUCUCUGAGAUUUCACUCACACUUUAGGAUCUGGUUGGCGUUUGAGUCUUUCAAGUUCUUGUUCAAUGGCAGCAUGGUCAGGGUGUCUUAGAAAGGUUUCUGCAACUUCUGGAGUCUGGGGACAUCCAGACUGGAUCGCAUCUCAGAGGGCCCGGUCAAAGGCUCCAGAUGUUGAAAACCAAAGGAAGCAGAGGAGAAAGGACCAGAAGGAGCCAGAAGGUACAGCCUUAGGCAAGUCAUUCCCCUUCAUCCCACUUCUGUUUCUUCAUCCGGAAAACAAGAACUGAGACUUUCACUGGAGAGAAGUUCAAAUGGGGCAUAAACGACAGGGCCAGACCCGUAGGAGGUUGUGUGAU
Molecule: long non-coding RNA, 5457 nt
Organism: Leopardus geoffroyi (Geoffroy's cat)
Lineage: Eukaryota; Metazoa; Chordata; Mammalia; Carnivora; Felidae
Exons: 2
Source: RefSeq, a predicted model, not a curated record